CGGACGGGUGAGUAAUGUCUGGGAAACUGCCUGAUGGAGGGGAAUAACUACUGGAAACGGUAGCUAAUACCGCAUAACGUCGCAAGACCAAAGAGGGGGACCUUCGGGCCUCUUGCCAUCGGAUGUGCCCAGAUGGGAUUAGCUAGUAGGUGGGGUAACGGCUCACCUAGGCGACGAUCCCUAGCUGGUCUGAGAGGAUGACCAGCCACACUGGAACUGAGACACGGUCCAG
Molecule: ribosomal RNA, 232 nt
Filed under: uncultured bacterium
Lineage: Bacteria
Description: partial 16S ribosomal RNA
Rfam family: Bacterial small subunit ribosomal RNA
Source: RNAcentral